ACUGGUAAAGAAAUUACGGGAGAAAAAUAUUAAGAAUCUACAGGCGGAUGCCUAAAAAUGUCUCAACAUUUCUGACAUGUUUGGGGCUGUAGUAGCUGCUUCAACAUCAGCAUUACCGGAAGUAGAGGAAGGAGGAGAGGUGGCUGGUUGUUGCAGAGAA
This is a long non-coding RNA of Etheostoma spectabile (orangethroat darter), 160 nucleotides long. RefSeq lists it as uncharacterized. NCBI's taxonomy places the organism in Eukaryota, Metazoa, Chordata, Actinopteri, Perciformes, Percidae. The record is from RefSeq and is a predicted model, not a curated record. The transcript has 3 exons.